CAAACUCUGGAAUAUAUUGGGAUAUUGUCAACUGUCUGAAAUUAAAUAUGGAAGUACACUUUAUAUGAUUUCAAUUCAUUUUUGUUGCUGUCACACUCUUUCUGAUGUUUGUACCUCUUGUGAUGAUCUUCUCAAUCCAUCUCAUUUGGAUUGUUGGCCCUCUCGGACUUCCCAUUUUGGUGACUAUGAUGAAGAAGGGCAACUGAGGCCUCAGAGGAGCAUCCUCCAAGCUGCCUUUUGAUCCUUAGACUUCUUUCUUCUGAGUCUUUAUUUCUUCUUCUCUACGAAAGGUUGCAGCUCUUGGAUUUUCUUGUUUUGGAGGCUAUGACGAAGAAUUUGCAGCUGAAUCCUUAUAGGAGCACUGUGCCUAUAAGAAUUUUCUGAUUAUUUCAGACUUCCCUCUUGGGAAAGGAUGUAAGUAUAGAGAACAGGCAUCAAGGAUUUACCAUGUCUUUGAAUCGACUUUCAAAAGUGUGGAAGGCAUAUCUGAGUACAAUCCACACCCGGCUCAUGUAGAAUUUACAGAGGAUUUCAUGCCUGCAGUUUCGAAGGUCCUCGUUGCUGACUACAAGCCGAGUAUAGUCCAUCAAUGAUGGUAGAGUAUGGGUUCCCCUUCUUUGCGCCGAAGUCCUUUUGAAGGCUGUCUACCUGGGGUUUGUCCAGUGCUUGUACUCAGAAUUUGUUUGUUUUGAUUCUUUACGGUCUUUGAUCUGCAAAACAUUGCAAGCUCCUCUGGUUCUGCUUCAGUAAUUUGCUGAUAAACGAACUAUUACCAUACAAUAAAACAUACGCGACAUGGUUGAAGCAUC
This is a long non-coding RNA of Elaeis guineensis (African oil palm), 809 nucleotides long. RefSeq lists it as uncharacterized. NCBI's taxonomy places the organism in Eukaryota, Viridiplantae, Streptophyta, Magnoliopsida, Arecales, Arecaceae. The record is from RefSeq and is a predicted model, not a curated record.